RNAcentral lists this ribosomal RNA (315 nucleotides) under uncultured eukaryote. Its description in RNAcentral is "partial 18S ribosomal RNA". It matches the Rfam family "Eukaryotic small subunit ribosomal RNA", at positions 1470 to 1796 of the family's 1831-position model. The record is from RNAcentral.
CCCUUAGACGUUCUGGGCCGCACGCGCGCUACACUGACCAGUGCAACAAGCAUCCGUCCUUGGCCGACAGGCCCGGGCAAUCUUUGAACGCUGGUCGUGAUGGGGAUUGACUUUUGCAAUUUUUGGUCUUCAACGAGGAAUUCCUAGUAAACGCAAGUCAUCAACUUGCAUUGAUUACGUCCCUGCCCUUUGUACACACCGCCCGUCGCACCUACCGAUUGAAUGGUCCGGUGAAGCCUCCGGAUUGGCGCGCACCUCGGUGCCGCCGAGAAGUUGGCUAAACCUUACCAUUUAGAGGAAGGUGAAGUCGUAACA